CACACAUCUCUCCUUAUCCUAUGGGCUUGUGCUUGUUGCAAUUGUUUGUUGAAUUGACUAAUUGACGAUAGUUUAUUUUGUGUGUGUUUAGGCGGUUAUGGAAGGUUUGUUCCUGCUAUUUCAUGUUGGCCUUUACAAGGGCAUGAAUAAAACAUUGUAGAGUAUUGGAUAAGCUUUAAAGAAUUUAGAAGCUUUUGCUCAGUCCCCAAUAUUCUUGUUUGCUUUCUCAUUGACAUGCAUGUGAUUUUCUGAUUGCUGAUUCAUAGGCGGAUGAAUUAGUUCCUCGUCGUGUUGAAGUCUUUUCAAGCAUAAUGUUCUACCUCCUGAUGCAGUGAUUUCUGCUGGUUCAGUAAACUCUGCAUAUACUGCAGAUCUUCAUCAGUACCCCAGAAGGUAGAUAUUCUAGAGGGCCUGCAUGUUAUUGUGUGGCAUGCGGUAUGGGCUAUUCCAUGGUUAUAGUUGAUAGAACAAAUGUUGGUGACCGAUUUGAGCAGCUGGAUAUCUAUGAUGGCAAGGCUUCUGGUGAAUUGUCGGGCUCACAUUGACGAAUGAAAGUUACUGGUGGUAGGUGACACCUAACAAAGUUGAAUUUAAAAUGUGCUCCAACUGCAAGUAUGGGUUUAAUAAAUUAAUAAUUAAUAACCACUGAUGAAAUGGAAGAACGUGUAGAAGUUUGUCUUUAUUCUUUGAGAAAUUAUUAGGUGUU
Molecule: long non-coding RNA, 706 nt
Organism: Hevea brasiliensis (rubber tree)
Lineage: Eukaryota; Viridiplantae; Streptophyta; Magnoliopsida; Malpighiales; Euphorbiaceae
Exons: 5
Source: RefSeq, a predicted model, not a curated record